This 38229-nucleotide long non-coding RNA is filed under the name Marmota monax (woodchuck). The stretch from base 33886 to 33956 matches the Rfam family "tRNA". The record is from RNAcentral. Lineage: Eukaryota; Metazoa; Chordata; Mammalia; Rodentia; Sciuridae.
GGGAGGCGGCGGGCGGGAGCGCAGGUCUGGCCGGCCCUGGCGAUGGCGGACGCGGCGGCCUCCCCGGUGGGCAAGCGGCUGCUGCUUCUGUUCGCGGACACCGCGGCCUCAGCUUCAGCCUCGGCCCCCGCGGCGGCGGUGGCGAGCGGAGAUCCGGGGCCUGCGCUGCGCACUCGGGCCUGGCGGGCCGGCACGGUGCGGGCCAUGAGCGGGGCGGUGCCCCAGGACCUAGCGGUGAGUGGCGGUCGAGACGUGCACUCGAGGCCGGGGCUGCAGGGCCUGUGGGCGGCCUCCCCGGGGGCCUUUGUGAGGGGGCGGUGUGGUGGGGGUGACCCAGUUCCUCACCCCCGGAUCUCCUUAGCGCCCCCCGCCGGCACUUCGGCACCCCGAGCUCUGGCCUGCAUGGCUUCCGCGUCGGGGUGCGCGCCCCAGUUAACCCCCGGAGGGCGGCCUGGGUGCCAGGAGCUGCUGCUUUUAGCCGGCAGGCCCCGCCUCCUGAGCGACCCUUUGCUAGGCGUCCCCUCCCCGCACCCCCCCUCCCGCAACACGCCUUCCGAGCAGGCUUUCGAACCUUGGUGCCGGGGCCCCGCAGAGUUCGGCCGGUGCUGCCGCUUUCCCCUAGAAAACGCGGACCUGUAAUCCCCAGGUUCUCCCCGGAGACCUGCGCCCUGUUCCCUUCCUCCCGGAGUCUCUAGUGGGGCGAGAAUGUGGGCAGUUGUAGGAAGGCAGUUGGAGCUGCUUGGGGCUUUUUUAUCUGGCAGUUACUUCCUCCUUGUCUGAGCCGUGCUGGGCCUGGCGCUCUUCAGAAAGACCAGCUCUCAGGACUGUUUAGAGCUCCCCUAUCUUUGCGCUUCUGGGUGACAGGAGCUGCUGUUGUGGCUUUUUGAUAAGUUUGAGAUCUGACUUAGUCGAAUGGGGCUGCAGGGUGGUGCUUUUUUGCUCCCAGCUUGUCUGUUCCCCCAACCUUGAGAGAGGUUUUGUUUUGAAACUUUGUCGGGGCUUGGCUGCUUUUGCACGCUUGCCUUCAUGUAUUUUGUGAUUAAAGUUGUUCAGCAAAAAACUUUGCCAGCAUUGGGGACCAUAAUGUGUUAGUUUUGUUAAUGUGGCGGCAAAAUACUGUCUUUGAGUUUUAGCCAACCUCAAUAGUUCCUCAUUCUGGUAGCGUAGCCCUAGCCUUCUCUGGUGAGAUAAGGCUAAGAAAAAUGGGGGCGGGGGACUUUUUGGAAUGUAAAGGAUCAACAAGCCGAAUGUAAAUGUUGAUGAAUUUCCUUCUGCAGACCUUUUCUUAGCUCUAAACGGGAACUCAUUUUGUGAGAGUGGGAGUAAUGUUUCUGAUGUUUUUCUAUUGAUCAACAGUGUUAAACUGUCUUUUAUUAUGAUACACAAGCUUUAUGGGUAGUUUUGCUUAGGUUUUGAUUCUGCUUCUUGAGUUCCCUUGCUUUGAUUUUUCUCCAUGCCCUAUAAGAAAGGCUGGUAGGGCAUUUAUGAAGCUUUAGUGGGGCGAAUUUGUAAAAAGAUACCAGGAAUAUAAGGGAGAGAGGGGGAUCCAUGGUUAAGACAGGAAUUUGGAUAUAAAUUCUUCUGUGCUUUCUUUAGAAGGUGACUGGGAUGGGGGAGAGGUAUGCUUCUUAGAUUCAGUAAUUCACCCUGGUAAGCAAAACGUACUUGAGUUUCACCCUUAUGUGCAUUCUUUGACCAGAGGCAUCCUCAGCUCUCUUUUCAGUUGGGAUUUUAUUUUCUAAUUCUUCCAAUGGUUGUUUCCUCCAUCAGUUGAAUUGCUAAUGAGCUCUGCACCUGAAAUGGCUGCCCAUUCACUUUGUUGUUUGCUGGGCUCCCUAAGGGCAGAGGUGUUUGAAGCUCAUUGAGAUGCUGGACAACAUCUAAGCUAAAUACUGAAUAAUUUUACCACUGGGCACGUGGAACUGGGUUAUCAAUCCGUAUUAAAAAAAGCAAAAUGUUCUUACAAACUGUUGAAUUCUUAUAUGAGGCCAUGAAUUUAGAAGCAAAGGCAAGUUUGAGUUUUGCAAAUACAUUUGUGCUUGUCUUGUACAUAUAUCCAAGGGGCGUUAAUGAGAAAACAGCCAUAACAAAACUCAGAGCCUUUUUAUUUUAUUUUAUUUUUACCAGCUUGCUACCCAAGAAUUGCUGUUAUGUUGAGGUCCUAUUAAUGACAGUGACUAGUAGAGGAUCAGAACUAGCAGUUUUGUUUUCCUUUUUCAUUGAAAUUUCCUUUGGACCCUGGGCAUGUGGACCUUUCCAAUUUGCACCACACACUGUAGUAAACACAACUAUCUUCCAAUCACAAGUGUUCUUCCUGUACUCAACGGUGGAGUUUGCAAGCAGCUGCCUCACGAUUGGACAGAUUUUCUUUCAGUUAUGUUUAAGAUGUUUUCAGGCAUGCUUGGUUUUGAGUAAUACAAGGCAGGGCGCCCCCUGUUAAGGAUGAGUAAUUGAGGGUUGGAUUGAAAUGAUUAAAAAACAUACUUUUCAAUUUUAAUCUCCAUUAAUAUCUUCUUCUAAAUACUUUUUGAUUCUAAAGUCAUUCAAAAUACUGAUAUAUUUAAAGAAACCUUUAUUGGGAAACAAUACCAAACCCAUGGGCUACCUUAAAUGUGAUGUGAAAAAAGUUAAUUCAGGAUGCUGUUGGUUGGGAAUUUUGUUGGUAAUGAUCUUAUAGAUGGCCCUCUUACCCAUUAAAUCUUUCCUGAGAAAUAACUAUUAAGAUUUUUAGCCAAAAAUAGAAAAACACCCCCCACCCAGUGGAAUAACAGCUUUGUUAUUAAAAUUAGGCCUUUUAUGUUUAAAAAGAGAAAAGUCCUGUUGCAGAAAUAAGUUUCAUGGAUUUUUAUGCAUUUAUCCCUGGUUCCUCUCUAAACCAGUUGUCCAGUUUGUGUUUCUAAGUCAUUUAUUGAUUGAGGUAAGUCGUGUAGACCUUGGGAUCUUCACAGUGUGUAGGUACAAUAGCUAAAACAGACAACAAUCCCCCUCCCCCCCCCAAAAAAAAAAACCCACCAAAAACAUGGAUUUAAAUUUUUUUUUUUUUUUUAGUUGUAGUUGGACCCAAUACCUUUAUUUUAUUUAUUUAUUUUUAUGUGGUGCUGAGGAUCGAACCUAGGGCCUCACUAGGUGAGUGCUCUACUGCUGAGCCACAACCCCAUCCCCUGAAUUUUCCUUUUUGUUGAUAUAAAAACAAAACUUGCUAUUUGCAAAGUGUUAAAACGGUUAUUCACAUGAAAAUUCAUCAGUCUCCAUCUCUAUAUGCCCUAGUUUGCUAAAAAGGGUAAGUUAUCUUUACUAGUCUUUAUUAAUACUUAUACAAAAUAUGAAAACGUGUAUACAAAAUAUUGCUUUUUUUUUUUUUAAAGUAAAUGAUACCUUCCUGUACCAUAUCUGCAGGCUGCUUUUUGUUUUUCCUUUCAUUUUAUUUUAUUUUUUAGUUGUUGAUGAACCUUUAUUUUAAUAAUUUACUUAUUUAUAUGUGGUGCUGAGAAUCAAACCCAGUACCUCACACAUGCUAGGCAAGUGCUCUACCACUGAACCGCAACCCCAGCCCUUGUUUUUUUUUUAAUAUUUAUUUUUUAGUUGUAGUUGUUAAUACCUUUAUUUUUUUAUGUGGUGCUGAGGAUUGAACCCAGGGCCUUGAAUGCGCUAGGCGAGCGCUCUACUGCUGAGCCACAACCCCAGCACCCCCAGCCCUUGUUUGUCCUUCUUAAUUUAACAUUAUACCAUAGGCAUUUAUAGUGACAUACUUUAACCAUCACCCCCAAGUCCACCUACCGGCCCCCACCUCAGGAAUCCAGGGUCUCUCAAGUGAGAGGAAAGUACUCUAUAUACUGAGCAAUGCCAAAAACAUUUUUGAUAAGUCCUUUAUAUUCCAUAGAAAGGAUGUACCAUAACUUACUCAUUCUUCCUUUUGGCAAACAUUCAAGUUGUUUAAAAGUUUUUGGGGGCACUAAAAACAAUGCUACCAUUAAUAUACUUGUACAUAUAGCUUUAAGUGAUCUAGAUUUCCUUUUGUAUUUUGGACAUCCACAAUUGGGACAGUUAGGUUGAAUAUAUGUGUUUUGAUGUUGUUUUGCCUCUUUUGUUUUGUUUUCCUUUUGUAGUACUAGGUUUUGAACCCAGGUGCUCUAUUCUACCACUGAACUAUGUCCCCAGUUCUUUUUUUUUUUUUUUUUUAAUUUUUUAAAAUUUUGAGAUGAGCUCUCACUAAGUUGCUAAGGCUAGAAUUGAACUUGUGAUCCUCCUGCCUCUGCCACCUGAAACACUGAUAUGACAGGUGUAUACUAUUGUACCUGGCCAAAAAUGUCUUUUUCUUUUUUCUUUUCCUGUUGUGUGUGUCUGUGCACCUGCACAUACAUGCUCAUGCACAUUGUUAGGGAUUAAACCAGGGCCUCCUGCAUGUUAGGUAAGUACUCUACCAUUGAGCUGUGCCUCCAGUCCUGUAUUACAGGUUAUUUUCCUACACAUGAUAACAUUUCAGCCUCACCAACAGCAAGUGUAUAUACUGUUUCCUUCACCAGUAUCAUCAGUCUUUUUCAUUUUUGCCAGUCUGAUAAGUGAAAAUAGUAUCUAGCAUUUUCAUGACUACUGUUUUCUUUUCCUCUGAGUAUUAACCUUUUAUGUUUCUUUUUUUUUUUCUAUUUUUAAGCUAUUUAUGUGUAUCUUUUGCCCAUUUGAGAAAAAUGUAGAUUGUCCUAUCACUUUAUCAGUUCUGUGCAUGGAUUAAAUUACCUGUCUAUAGAGUGUUAUACUUAUUUUGUCUCAGUUGUUUUUUGACUUUGUUUAUCGGUUUCUUUUCAUACAAAGUCUUUUUCUUAAUUUGUUCUUUUUAGAGAUACAUGACAGUAGAGUGUAUUUUGACAUAUUAUACAUACAUGGAGUGUAACUUAUUCUGAGGAUCUCAUUGUUCUGGUGCAAAUAUAGUUCUUAUUCAUCCGAACAAUAUGCUUGUAAAGGACUUCUCCAUGUUAAAUUUUUAUAUUCUUUGUGUGUGUGGUGCUGGGGAUUGAAUCCAGGGCCUCUUGCAUGCUAAGCAGGUGCUCUACCACUGAGCUAUAUUCCUGGCCCUUUUUACAUUUUAUUAUAUUGAGACAGUGCUUCACAAAGUUGCCCGGAUUGGCCUUGGCCUUAAAAAUCCCUCUGCCUCAGUCUUCGAAGUAGCUGGGAUUACAGGCAUGCACCAAAAUGCCCAUUUUAGAACUCUUCUUCAAAUUUCCUAAUAAUUUCAUUUAUUUUUAUCUUUGGAUCUUUGAUCCAUCUGGAAUCUUGUUUUAGUUGGCAUGUGAAAAGGGGGAUAACUUUUUUUAUUCCUACUAAGUAACCAAUUGUGUCAGCACUAAUUUUUAUUAAAUCUUUCUUGCUGUGUGGUAGAAUUAAAUGAUGCUAUAAGUGCAGCAUUGAUUUGUUUUGAAUGUGUAACAUAGACAUCUAGAACUUGAAAGAGCAAGUGGAAGUAUAUCUGCCUUAAUUUUUUAUCCCUUAAUCUUUCAUCUCCAUUUCAGAGGAAGAGGGACUCUAAAAUAUUCCUUUCUUUUGAUUGGAGAUAAUGCAAUAAUUGUAGCAGUGUUCAGGCUAGUACUGUGUUAUUUCAGUCUGGAAGUUUUCCAAGAGGAAUGAAAGUGUAUCUGCCUUAUUUUUUUACAUCAACCUUUCACUUUGUCUCAGGAUGUAGAAUAGGUAGACUCCAAAAUACCUGUCUACCUUGUUUCUAAGUAAUGUAAUUAUAGUCAUAUACCAUAUUUCUAGUGUAGAAUCCAUUCUUUAUUUUCUACCUAUGUUCAAGCCUAGAAUUUCAGACCUAAUCAAAAUGGAGUUUGUGGCUUUUAAAAUGGUUAUCUUUAAGUGUCCUUUUUUUACCAUUUCAAACGUUAAAUAAAAAUAUGAGUGCUAUACAAGGCCUGGGGUUUGAUUCCCCAGCCCCCCCCACCCCCCCAAUAUACACAUACACACAAAAACAUAUUUGAUAUCAUGACAUCUUAUGCUGUUUUUUAUGGCUUAUAGAACUUUAAAUAAAAAUGAUUGUACUUAUUUGAUGAUAAGAAUGUAUACUAUUCAAUUGUCACCUCCUCUAAGCACAAGUAUCUUAACUCUAAUUUUUUUUCUUAAUUAUUUUUGAGAGAGAUUCUCACUGUGUUGCCCAAGCUGGCCUCUGAACUACUAGGCUCAAGGGAUCCCCCUGAUUCAGUCUUUCGAGUAGCUGGGAGUAUAGGGUGUGCUACCACGCCUGACAAAGUUCAUUUUAAAAAAUAUAUGUUUUUUUUGUUGUUGUUGUUUGUACUGGAGACUGAACCCAGGGGAGUUUACUAAUGAUCAACAUCCCCAGCUUUUUUUUUUUUUUUAACUUUUGAGAUAGGGUCUCACUAAGUUACUGAGGUUGGCCUCAAACUUGGAAGUCCUCCUGCCUAAGCCUCCUAAGUUGCUAGCAUUACAAACAUGUGUUCCCAGGUUUGGCUUUUAUGUGUGGUUUUUAAUAACUCAUGUCUUUUUAAUUUUUAUUUUUUGGGGUGCUGCGGAUUGAGCCCAGGGCUUUGUACCAACCACACACUCUACCACUGAAGUAGAACCCCAGCCCCUAAAAGCUCUAUCUUAAUUUAUCUCUGCAUUCUUCUUCAGGGCUAUACAAUAUGUACACCAAUGAUCAUACUAUACAUUGGUCAUUUUGUCUUACAUUCUCUCUUUUUACUACACGGUCAGAUUUUUCCUCUUAAUUAUCCAUUUGUUUGUAAGAACUUGCUUCACUAACUUCCCACCUGCCUAGGGCUCAUUCCCUAGUAUACUACUUUUACUUGCUUGCUUCUCAUUCCAACCUUUUCUGGUUGAUUUUGUUUUUCCUCUAUAAACAAAUGGUAGGUAAGAAACAUGACAUUUUCUGUUGUUGGUGAUUUUCUUAACAACAGCUGGGGUGGGUUCCUAUAGUCUUAGCUUCCUCAAGGCCUAGGGGACAUAACACCUGUUGUUGCUUCUCAGUUUUCCAUUGCCUUUGACAGAUUGGUUUUUUAUUUUUUUGUUUUUUGUUUUGUUUUAAUUGUAGAUGGACCUUUAUUUUUAUUGGUGCUGAGACAUGAACCCAGUGCCUCACACAUACAAGGCAAGAGCUCUACCGCUGAGCCACAAUCCCAGCCCCUGGAUUGGUGAUUUUAAAACCCUCCCAAAUCUGCCAUCCACCCGUACUGCCAAAAUAUAAAAAAUGUGCCUGGUUGGUUGGUCGGUUAUUUAUUUAUUUAUUUAUUUAUUUGUUUAUUGGUACUGGGGAUUGAACCCAGUACCAAUAAAUAAAUAAAUAAUCACUGAGCUACAUUGCCAGCCCUUUUUUUAAAUUUUGAGACAGGAUCUCACUAAGUUUCUGAGACUAGCCUGGAAUUUACCAUCCUCCUGCCUCAAUCAUCCAGGAUGCUAGGAUUAUAAGUGUGCAGCACCAUGCCCAGCUCUUCCUAAGUUUUUAGCAGUGACUUUCUACUGCUGGUUGUUUAGGUGUGACUUCUCUCAAUUUUGCAAGAGCAGAAACUCCUUUGUGUGUGUGUGUGUAUGUGUGUGUGUGUGUGUCUGUGUGGAAGUAAUAAGGCUCUAGGGGACAGACUCACUAACCAAACCCUCUGGAGACUAAAUCAAAAAUCCAUAUGCAGAGUUAUUAAUUUUCAGUGGGAGAUAUAUCUAUACAGAGACCUGCAUGAGAGCUCACACCUGUUCUACUCAAGAGACAAAUUAUAGAUAAGAAGUAUCCUUGGUGUGCAGAGAGUCAGGGGAGGGAAAAUUGGGUGUGGCAAAAAGGAUAUUUACAGCAGCAGCCCUAUUUGGUGAUUCUCCACUUUCCUGGUAUUUAGGGGCUUCCAUUGCUUUACCAUUUGCUUUUAAUGUUGUCAUCCACUGAAAUCCCAUGAAGAGGAAGAAACCCUGCCCAUCCUUCCAGUCUGUCCAUUUUAGGAGCUGCUGCCUCUAUAAAGUCUUUCUGAGUCCUCACCAUAUUGCUUUUAUUCUUUGCUCCUUUAGCACACUUUUGGACUAUUAUUUUAGUUUUUAUUGUUGUAGCUGUAUAGCAAGAGAAAUAGGUUGCUUAUCUCUUACAUAGAUUGAAAGUUCCUGGAAGACAGAGAACACCUGAAUUUUUCUAGUACUAUUUUAUAAGGCCUUCUCUGACCACCCUAUCUAAAAAAAUAAAAUAUUUAGAAGCCUAUAUUAAGUUUACAUUCACUUCUGAUUUUUAUGGAAUUCUACACCAUGGCCCUGAAAAUAAGGUAUUUAGUCCUUUUUUUUUCUUUUACAUAUUUUUAUUAAUAUAUAGACUUAGCAACUAAUUUUGUCUUGGUGUUAUUGGAUCAUGUUUGGGACUCCAACCCAAGCUACAUUGUCUCUUGUUUUUUGUGAUUUACAUCUGGAUUGUUUUCUUAGAUUGGAAGCAUUUGAUAUUCUAUAUUUCUGAUUCUAAAGUAAUACCUGCCUAUUAUACAAAAUGUAUAAGUCUUUUCUUUUUUAACUUUAUUUCUUUAUGUGGUGCUGAGGAUUGAACCAACCCAGUACCUUAUACAUGCUAGGCAAACAUUCUACCACUAAACCACAACCCCAGACUCACAAAGGGUAGAAAUCAUUUUAACAAUAUUAUGAAGAAAGGGGGGGAAAAAAAAAAACUAGACCCUGUAGUCUCACAACCUAUUAGGAACUACUGUUUAUAUUUUGAUAUAUGAUCUAAUCUUAUUUCUGAAGUCCUUGGUGAAGGCUCCAUCCCAGGUGAUUCCAACAGACCAUGCUUUGCAACCCUUCCCAGUGUGACUGGUAAUCAAAAAAACAGCAGUGAUGAAAGGCAAGAAAAGAGUUUUUAAGCUGUGUGGCUACACCUGAGGUUUUAUAGAAAAAUGGAAGAAAGUCAAGUUUGGGGGGCUUGAAUGCCUGAGGCAUUUAUAUUGAUGGUAUAAUUGGUUGUUCUUGGUUAUUCUUGGUCUGAUUGAUCUUUCUCAUCAAUGCUUGAUGGGGUGAUUUGAUUUGCAUCCUGGGAUGAUUCCUCCUCUGGGGUGCAGUCUCAUUUUAGGGUGAUCUGUUCCUGGGAGGCUUGCUGUAGCUUGGGGAUGGUUUCUACUCCUCGUCUUAUAGGUGCUUAUCAACAAGACUAUAAUUCCUGGAAUCCAAGGUGUAACUGUAGAAGAAAGGGCCUCAGAAGGAAAAAAGUAUAAAAGGCAAAUGGAGUUAGAAAAGGACAAAAUGGAGUUGGUUAGGUCAGUGACUAGGUUCUCCUUCAAUCUUUUUUUUUUUUUUUUUAAAUUUUAGAAAAAGUAUAGUUGAAUUCAUACUGCAUUUCUUUUUUAAAGAGAGAGAUUUUUAAAAAUAUUUUUAUUUUUCGGUGGACACACAUCUUUAUUUUACUUAUUUUUUUAUGUGGUGCUGAGGAUUGAACCCAGCGCCCCGCGCAUGCCAGGCGAGCACCCUACUGCUUGAGCCACAUCCCCAGCCCCUCAUACUGCAUUUUUUAAUUUAGAGAUUUGCUUUUCAUUUAAUGUGGCAAUUAUUUUUAUUAUCAAAAACUUAGUUUAUGGUGAUUUUAACUUUCUUGGUGUUUUUCUCAAUUUUUCACAAAUAUUAUAUUGCUUUCAUUACUGAAAGUAAAACAAUAAAUGCUCUGUAAGAAUAUCUUAUGGCUUCAGGCAUGAUGGUGCACACCUGUAAUUCCAGCAACUUGGGAGGCUAAAGCAGGAGGAUCACAAAUUGGAGGCCAGUCUCAGUAAAUUGGUGAAAUCCUGUUUAAAAAAAAAAAAAAAAAACAUAAAAAAGAGGCUAGUGAUGUAAUUCAGUGGUAAAACGCCCCUGGGUUUAAUCCCCAGUACCGAAAAAUAUGUCUUAUGGCUGGGCAUAGUGGACACAGGAUUCUAAGGCGGGAUAAUGCUAGUCCCCAGAAAUUCAAGGCCAGCCCAUUGCAACGUACAACAUUCGAAAAAGCAAAAAACAAAGAUCUUAUGAAUGUAUUUUUUGGCUCAGUGAUUUAACUUUUUUUUUUUUUUUUUAAGAAUUUUAAUAUUUAUUUUUUAGUUUUCGGCAGACACAACAUCUUUGUUUGUAUGUAGUGCUGAGGAUCGAACCCGGGCCGCACGAUGCCAGGCGAGCGCGCUACAGCUUGAGCCACAUCCCAGCCCUGAUUUAACUUUCUCUUUCAUUAAAUAUUGAAGUUAUUUCAGAUUUUAGGCUUUAUUAAUAAGGUGAUGAUGAAUGUUUUUAUGAGUAACGUCUUUUUAUGAAUUAUUUCAUAGAAUUAUUUUUUAAGUUAUACCAGUUUAUAUCCUUACUAAUACUGUCAAUUUGUUUAAGGAAUGAGUCAUUUUAUCAGGGGCCUAUGUUCUGCUAGGCAUUUAACAGCUUUAUUUAUGUAAUCCCUAUAGACAUCUUUUGAGGUCCUUAUUGUCUCUAUUUAUAGGCAAAGGAGGUGAGGCUCAAAGAGUCUAAUGUAGCCAGGUCAUGGUGGCACAUAGCUGUAAUCCCAGCUGCUCAGGAGGCUGAGGCAGGAGGAUCACAAGUUCACAGCCAGCCUCAGCAAUUUAGUGAGGCCCUAGCCCUAACUUGGCAAGAUCCUGUUUCAAAAUAAAAAGGACUGGGGAUGUGGCUCAGUGCUUAAGCACCCCUGGAUUCAAUCCCCAGUACCAUAAAAAAAAAAAAAAGCUAAUGUAACUUACUUUAGGCUUAGGCUACACAGGUAAUGGAGGAGUUGAGAUGUAAAUCCAGAUCUUUAUGAUUCCACAGCCUCUAAAUCACUAUACAUGUUUGAAUUUUUAUUCAGAUUAUCACUAUACUAUACUUAGCUACUUUACUUUUAAUUUCUUUAGGCUGUUAGAAAAUAGGCAGGGGCAAAGAAGAGGGGUAAUUGGGAUAGUUUGGUAGAAAGUGCUCUUUACCAAAGGCACUCUAAAGAUAAUAUUAUUGAAAAUAAUAAUAUUCUAGACAUGUAUCAUUCCCCAUUUUUGUUGUCAAGAUAUCCCACAGAUUUUGAAAAUUAUUUGUAACAGUUCAUGCUUUUUUUUAGCUUUUUUUUUUUUUUUAAGAAAAUCGGAGAAGUUAGAAACCUCAAAAGUUCAUCUCCAUUGCCUUAUCCUCUGACAAUCAUUGCUAAUACUGUUGUUUUUAUCUCUUAAUUUCUCAAAUAUACUUUUCAUUCCUAUAGUUUUAUUUAGUCUCUUUCUUUCUUUCUUUGGUACCAGGGAUUGACUCAGGGACACUUAACAGCUGAGCCACAUCCCAGCCUUUUUUUUUUUUUUUGAGACAGGGUCUCUAUAAGCCUGCUAAAUUGCUGAGGCUGGCUUUAAACUUGAGAUCUCUUGCCUUAGCAUCUGAGCUGCUGUGAUUACAGGCCUGCAUCACCAUGCCUCACUAAUUUCAUCCUUUAAAAAAAAGUUAAUUGUAUAACUAAUAUAUAAUACACAGGUUAAAGAGGAAAAGAAAUAAGGCCUGAAAUACUGUUAACCAUCCCAUUCCAAUCCUCCUCUUCCCUAUAAUUUCCUCAACCCGGAUAGUCUGCAACUUGCUUUUUUCUCCAAGUAUCUUGAAAAUCUUUUUAUGUUAGUUUGUUAGACAAAUCAAUCAAUUGAUAUAUCUCUCCCUUUCCCUUCCCCCCCUUCCCUCCCCCGCCCCCCCCUCUUUUCAGCACUGGGGGUUGAACCCAGGGCCUCACACAUGUUAGGCAAGUGCUUUAUUACUCUGGCUCAAUAGAUGUAAUUUUUGAAAACUCUGUGUUAUUUAUUCCAUAGUAUUGGUUGUAUCUUUUUAUUCAUUCGUUUAAUUAUGAAUUGCUUUGUAAUUUCAUUUUGAUUUCCUAUUUAAACUGAGGGUUAAGAAGUUUAUUCCCCAGGUGGCAUUAUCUUCAUAAAAUAUUUUUUCCACAUAAUUUUAAAACCAUCAGUGAAACCAUCAGUGGCUCUUUCAAGCUCUAUAAUGGGCAUCAUAUACUCAGAGACAUCCAGUGACUUACAAAGAAUUGAGUGACAGACCAAAGGGUGUAGUGGGACUGACAGUUGGUAGAGAGUGUAGAAAUUGCCUAAAGAUGUUAAAAUGCACUUUAAAAACAAAACAGAAAAACACUGAUGACCAAAUAAGAAACUUUUACCAACAAGUUUCUCCUCCCCCGCCCCCCUUCCCCCCUUCCCCCACCAUACUGUGGAUUGAACCUGGGAUGAUCGACCACUGAGCUACAUCCCCAGCCCUUGUUAUUUUGUAUUUCAAGAUAGGGUCUUACUGAGUUGCCCAGACUGGCCUCGAAUUUGUGAUCCUCCUGCCUCAGCUUUCUGAGAGGGCCAACAAAUUUAAGUUUGUUAUCCAUUAAUGUACUACAGAGCCCUUUUACAGCUUACUUACUAGCCACCUUCCCUUUCUCCCAGAACACACUAUCUUUUAUGUUUCUCUGCCUUUGUCUGUGCUGGAAAAUUAUUCCCUCCUUCUCUGCUAGAAGAAUACAGCUUGUCCUUUAAGACUUGCUAUCAUACUCCUACAUCUUCUGUGAAACUGUUUGAGUUGCCCAAGACAGAUGUCAGUCUAGCCUAAUGGCAGUUUAGAUCUUUAUUACUGCUUUUUAUUACAUAGCUUUGUAAGAAUUUCUGUACCUCUCUUAACUCAUUUGGGGUGAGUCCUUCUUGGCAUAUGCUACCUUAUUUGCCUUGAUAUUCUUAGGCUUGGCAAGUGCACACAUGUAAGGGGCAUUCUGUUUUUAUUGAUUGAGUGAAUAAAUGAAUAAUCUUACUAACGGUAGUAAGAAUGACCUUGUGGAAAGCCAGAAUCCAAACUCAUGGCUACAUGACAAACAUGAAGUCCUAUAUUGCUCAGAUUACUAAUUCCAGAUUUUAUCAAAAAUAAAGGUAAUUUAUUUGAUUAAAAAAAAAAAAAAGGCUGGGAUGGGGCUCAGUUGUAGAGUACUUGCCUAGCAUGCUUGAGGCUUUGGGUUCCAUCCCAAGCAUAGGGGGAUAGGAGUAUAGGCACAGCUUUAUUUCAGUGUUGAUAAAAUUAAUAUAAAUCACAUACAGACCUUAAAGGGAAAUUUGAAAGCACGAGUUUUAAUACUAACUCACCUUAACUCAUGAAAUACUUCAUCUCUAAUCCUUGGGUUCUAUCGUAUGUAUAGUACUAUUUGCUACUUUUAUUCAGACUUGUAAAAAUCAUCUCAAACUGUGUUUGUCGUAUUGUAUUAUCCAUCUCCCUGGUCAUCUCUGGCUGAACAUUAUUUUAUAUCCUUUCUACUUGUCCCGUAUCCUAACCUUCUACCAUUUUGAGAGUCAAACUGUGUUCUAUUUGCUUUAAUUUAAAAUGUUUCUUUACCUUCUGUUUUCCAACUCCUUUUAUUUCUCUGAGAAGAAAAGUAUAAUACUAGAGAGCCAGAAAUCAGUCUUACUUACAUGUUUACAAGUAUCCAUGGUCCACAUUGUUCACAAAACAGAUUCUUAUCAUUAUCCUAGAGCAAUUGCUUGAUCCCAUAAUGUAUAGUACAUGGUUAUUGUCAGUUUUUAAUAAACCCUUAUUCCACAUCCUUUGUCCAGGCAGUUUGAGAUAAUUGCCUUCAAAUUAAGUGAAACAUUUCCUGAUGUUUUCAUCUGUCAUGAUAGAAUUCUGUGUUUAAGUUCUAUGUGGGUUUUUUUUGUUUGUUUGUUUGUUUUUGUUUUUGAGAAGGGUCUUGCUGAGUUGCUGAGGCUGACUUUGAACUUGCUAGCCUCCUACCUAAGCUGCCUGAGUUGCUGGCAUUAUAGAUGUGCACCACCAUACCUGGCUGGAAUUUUAUGACUCCUAUAUUGAUUUAAAAAAAAAAUGGUACUAGGAAUUGAACCCAGGAGUUCUUAACCACUGAGCCCUUGGAUUAUAGUUAUGUGCCGCUGUUCCCAGUUUAUUUUUUGAGACAGGGUGUCUCCAAGGUCCCAAGGCUGGACUUUUAUUUGCAUUCCUCCUGCCUCUUCCAUCUUCGGAGGGGCUGGGAUUAUAGGUACCUGCCACCUUACGUGGAUUCUAUGUUGAGUUUUAAAGUGGUUGAUAGAUUAGAACUCCAGAAUGACACCUACCUGUCAGUUACUAUAGAGCCUCAACCUCUGGUUUUCUGAGUGAUGCCUGAAAAAUAUCGUCCCUCAAGGUUAGAUCCAGCCUAGGCACUGAAUAGUCUAUGCUCCUUUGCGUGGCUUUUCAAGUUCUUUUCUUUUUAUGUUAGUUUGUUAGUUUGUUAGUUUCCAGCAGUUGCUACCUCCUGCCAUCAGUUUGUCUUCAUCUAGUCUCUGGUUCAAAAAUCCAAGUCAUUUUUAUUUUUUUUUAAUUUCAUUUAAUUUUAAAAUUAAUUAAUUAAUUAAUUUUUUGCACUGGGGGUUAAACCCAGGGGCACUUUACCACUAAUCUACAUCCUUAGACCUCUUAUUUUUUGAGACAGGGUCUCACUAAAUUGCUUAGGGCCUUGCUGAAUUUCUGAGGCUGGUCUAGAACUUCUGAUCCUCCUGUCUCAGCCUCCCCAGCCACUGGGAUUACAGGUGUGUGCCACCACGUCAUUUUUAAAUUCUCCCUUCUAUGUAGGCCAGCCACCAAGCUUUGUAAUAAGGCUCAUGGAUUCUUACAAACCUGAGUCACUUCCAUCUUUGUCUAUCCCCACUCUAGAUCACAUAAGAACACCUGCUCUGCCCUGCCCCACCCAGCCCACAAAUGCUUAACCUUUUAAUUGCAGUUGUGUUGGCUUCCACACUCACAAUUUUUUUAAAAAAAUAUUUUUUAUUUGUGCAUUAUAGUUAUAAAUAAUAUUGGGGUUUAUUUUGACAUGAUUAAUACAAGUAUGGAAUAUAAUUUGCUCCAUUCAGUCCCCAGUACCUCCUUUACUCUUCCUUCCUCACUCCCCUUGUUCCCUUUCCUCUAUACUACUUGUCUUUCUUCUAUUUAUUUAUAGUUUUUUUUAAUUAGUGCAUUAUAGAUAUAAAGCUGAAAUUUAUUGUGAUAUAUUCAUAUGUGUACAUAGCAUAGUUUUAUUACACUGAAUUGUUUUUGUUUUUAAAGAGAUGGGAUCUUGCUAUGUUGCCAAGCUCUUGGGCUCAAACAAUUUUUCUGCUUCAGACUCUUUCAUAUCUGGGGCCACAGGCUUGUGUCAUUGUAUCUAACUGUAGUCCCAGUUUUUAGUUUGUGUUGUUUGGUUUGUUUUGCAGUACUGGGGAUUGAGUCCGGGGGUGCUCUACCACAGAACUACAUCCCUUUUUUUUUUUUUUUUUUGGUACUGGGGAUUGUACCCAGGGGCGCGUAACUACGUAGCUGCAUUCCCAGCCCUUAUUUAUUUUUUUAUUUUUUAUUUUGACAAGAUCUAGCUAAAUUGCUGAGGCUGGCUUUAAACUUGUAAUCCUCCUUCCUCAGCCUCCUGAGCCCCUGAGAUUAUAGGCCUGUGUCACCAAGUCCAGCACCUUCCCUUUUUUGAGACAGUCUGGCUAAAUUUCCCAGGCUAACCUUGAAUUUGUGAUUCUCCUGCCUCCUGAGUAGCAGAGAUUACAGGCAUGUGUGAUUGUGCCCUAGCCCAUGGCCUCAGUUUUCAUCUCAGUAUUCAGGUAUUUUCCAUAUCAACUCCUAAUCUUUUAAAUUUUAUUUCCCCACCACAGUGCUAUGUAGUUCCUGGCUAUCCUAUAACUUUACCAAGGCUUUGGUUGGCCUCAGCCCCUUCCAGUCCCUCUGCAUACCUGAAAUGAUUUCUUUACCUCUGAAGCCCACCAUACUUUAUUUAUCUUAUGUCAUAUUAUUGCCCCCAAAGAGCUUUAUAGUUGACUAAAGUGCAUUUGAAUCUGUUUUAUUUAAUUUUCACAACAGUCUAUUAGGUAAGUAAGACAGUGUCUUAUCACAAGUGAGGAAAACUGAGCCAAGAUAUGAUGAGGGAAUAGUAAGUUGCCCAAGUUUUGCAGUUAGUAAAGCAUGGCACUAAGACUCAUCCAUGUCUCCUGUGCAUAAGCCCUAAGCUUUAUAUAAUAUACUUCUACUACCUUUCUGAGUGUCUGAAUCUGAAUGUGCACGUAAAUAUAAGUUUGAAUAUUUCUCUCUUUCCAAUUGACUGUUAGCUAUUUGAAGGUAGGUACUAUGCCUUAUUCCCCUAGAAUAUAUAUGUGUAUAUACGAGUGAGCAUGUUCAUGUCCAGUUCAAUGUUCUCUUUCUCUGUAAAAAUCAGCCUUCCCCUGAGUCGUGCUUCCCCAUUAUUUUUUUUUAAGUAGAUAGGAAACUUACUUUGCAUACAAUAAAUAAUAAAAUUACUAUUUUAUAUAAUGAAUUUAACUUUUGAUCUUUUCAUUAAUAUACUUCAAUUUACAAGGUAUCUGAAGAAAUUGAUUAAAAGCUAGGCUACUGAGCUAUCAUUCUACAUUUUCAAGUAUUAUAAAUAUCAUGAAUUUCUCAUAACUUUAUAAUUUUUAUGUUAGUUGCAUGAGAACAUACCACAAAAGCUAUUAUGAGGGCUGAAGAUACAGCUCAGUUGGUAGAGUGCUUGCCUCACAUGCACAAGGCCCUGGGUUCAAUCCCCAGCACCACAUACACACACAAAAAGCUAUUAUGAAUAGAGUAAAAUAAAUUCCAUUUUUUAUUAUGGGGAAGUACACAAUAUUUUCAUAACCAUUUUAAUGGAUUUAAAUUUUAUUAUAUCACAUUUAUUUAUUUAUUUAUUUAUUUUUGUGCUGGAAAUUGAACUCAGGGGCACUUGACCACUCAGCCACAUCCCCAGCCUAUUUUGUAUUUUAUUCUUUUAUUUAAAGACAGGGUCUCACUGAGCUGCUUAGCACCUCACUUUUGCUGAGGCUGGCUUUGAAAGCGGGAUCCUCCUGCGUCCACCUCCUGAGCCUCUGGGAUCACAGGCAUGCGCCACCACACCUGGCUGUCUACAUAUAUUUUAAAUGGAGGACUGAGGCUAUAUAGCUCAUUGGUGAGCACUUGCCUAUUAUGUGUGAGGCCCUGGGUUUGAUCCCCAGCAUUGAAAGCAAAAGAAAAAAAACGUUGGUUGAAUUUUUGCCCGCUGUGGUUGUAUAUUCCUUAGCCAGCCAGGAGAUUAGGGCAGGUGGAUCACGAGUUCCACUCUAGCCUGGGCAAUGAAUUUAGUUGCAAUGAAAAGGGGAGGAGGGUUGGGGAUGUAUCUCUGUGGUUGAGAGCCCCUGAGUUGAAUCUCCAUUGCUGUCCUUGUUUUUGUUUUUGUUUCCAGUACUGGGGAUUGAACCCAAGAGCACUUUAACAUCAAACUACAUACCCAGUCUGUUUUAUUUUUUAUUUUGAGAUACAAUCUCAAUAAGUUGCUGAGACUGGCCUGAAACUUGUGAUCUUUCAGCCUCAGAUUCCUGAAUUGCUGGGAUUGCAGAUGUGUUUGUGUAUACCACUGCUUCCACAACCAGCAAAAAAAAAAGGAAAGAAAAAGAGAAAAAUGAAAGCUGCUAAUACAUACACAUACAAGACCUCUAGUAUUCCAUCUACAGGAAAUGCUUGGUGCUCCUAAUACUUGCAGAUCCUCUUUGGUAACUCUAAGUUGCCAGUUGGGAUCCAUAUUUGCAGGGAUUCUGAUAUUAUUCUGAAUUACUCAGUGUUACCAUAGGAAAUUUCAUGUGAGAAAUUUCUUACAGAGCCAAGUAGUUGAAAUAGCUUUGCUCCCCUGAAUAAUUGCUUUUUGAAUGAUUUCUUUUUGAAUAACUUGGCUUGCAACUGAGCUUGUCUCCUUUUUCACAUUGGUAUUUGGGAAGUUCAGAACCAAAUAUGUCACUCAGUUGUAGCAAUUGUAUUGAUCUUUUCUGCAUGAUAAAGUUUUUCCACUUUGAUAGUGACUUUCCAUUGUCAUUUUCUUGGCUGUGAUUUUUAAAUUUAUCUUUCAUCAUUUUAGUGCAUGUAUUUCCCAAAAGCCAUCUAAAAUUCUUUAAAGGUGAAUCAGGAGAUAAAUAAAUCUCUAGCCCUUCAUUUGUGACCAUGUUUGGCACUGGACAUAUCUAUUUUAUAUAGUGAUGCCAACAUGUGUAUGUCUUGAUCUUCAUACUGUGUUUAAUUACAUUCAGAAGUGAUUAGAAAAAUGUAGUCUCAGGCUGGAGUUGUGGCUCAGAGGUAGAGCACUUGCCUAGCAUGCUUUUAAGGUACUGGGUUCGAUCCUCAGCACCACAUAAAAUAAAAUAAAGAUAUUGUGUCCACCUAUAACUAAAAAAUAAAUAUUAAAAAAAGAAAAAUGUACUUUCAUUUGCUACAAAUCACUUCCAAGAACUCUUCACAGUAUCAAUUAAACAUAUCUUGAGAAGUAGAGUAUACAUCUAUUUAGGAAGGAAGCAAAACAUUGUGACUACAGCACGCCUUGGCUAGCAUUUAGAGAUUAUUGCUGGCAGUAACAAUUAAUAAAUCCACAGGUGGGUGUGGGAAGACAACUUCUUUUUCUUUCAUUGCCUAUCCUUUUGAAAUUUGUACCAUAUACAUAUGUCACCUAUUCAAAAAACUAAUAAAAUAAUUUCUCAGUCAUCUUUAGUAGAAGUACUAAAAAGUUCUCUUUCUAUUAGACUAUGAGCACUUAAAAAUGGGAGUUCAUAACCCACUUGAAUCUAAUGUAUGAAAUAUGAUAUGUCAGGAGCUUUGUAAUGUUUUGAACAACCAAUAAAAUAUAUAUAAAUAAAUAAAUAAAUAAAUAAAAUAGACUAUGAGCACUUGGAGACUAGGAAGUGUAUGAGAUUCAUCUCAUCAUUCCUGAACCUAGCACAGUAGUUUACACAUAGUAAGCCCCCAGCUUAUGUGUGUAGAUAUGAAUUGGUAAAUGAAAAUUGCAAGUUUCAGUAGGGACAUGACCAGAAAUUACUAAAGAAUUGUGUGUAUAACUCAUGCCCCUUUUAACUCUGUACAUCUGUUUUAGAAUGAGGCUGAAACCAGCUUCCUGGCUUUGAAGUAACAUCUUUUUUUUUUUUUUUGGUGCUAUGGAUUGAACUCAGGAACACCUGACCACUGAGCAACAUCCCCAUCCCUUUUUGUAUUAUAUUUAGAGACAGGGUCUCACCAAGUUCCUUUUGCUAAGGCUGGCUUUGAACCUGCGAUUUUCCUGCUUCAGCCUCCCAAGCUGCUAGGAUUACAGGCGUGCACCACCACACCCUGCUGUAACAUAAUUUUUAUUGGUGCCCUUUAAAAUAACUUUAAAAAGUUAUUUUUCCCAGUCACUUGUUCAAAGUUGUUUUGUUUAUGUGUUACAGUAUGGGAUUUCAUCAAAUGUAUCUUCCAAGCUACUUUUUAUUUUUUCUUGCAGAUCUUUGUAGAAUUUGAUGGCUGUAACUGGAAGCAACACUCCUGGGUUAAAGUUCAUGCUGAAGAAGUUAUUGUGCUUUUGCUGGAAGGGUCACUUGUAUGGGCACCCCGGAAUGACCCAGUCCUUUUGCAGGGCACUCGAGUCUCAAUUGCACAGUGGCCAGCCCUGGUGAGUAGUUUUUAUUAUUUUUUUUUAUUUGGUCCUAGGGCUUAAUUCCAGAGUCUAACUCAUGCUAGCCAAGAUCUCUACUAAUGAGCCAUACCUGUAGCCCCCAAAUCCUGCCACCUACUACCUCAGGUCUGCCAGGGUACUUGUUAGGCAAGUGAUUUCACUGAGCUGUAUAUACCCUUGGUCCCUGAGUGGCCCCUAUUGGGUAGGAACAUAUUUGAGCUUUCCUAACAUAACUAUAGUGUUUGCCCAGUAGUGGAACUCUUUAGAAUUCACAAAACCCUACCUUAAAGUUAUGAAAGUAAAAAUUAAGAGAGAGCUUUUCUCUUCUGUGUUCUCCAAAACACUCUGAUAAUAUUUGAUACUGUUUAUCUCUAAAUAAUUUUUUCACUUUUAGUCUUUUCUCAUAGCAAGAUUUGAAAUAGUGUAAUCCUCAAAAGUGUUUUGUAAUUAAGUUUUGUUUUUUGAAAUGAAAUGAAAUAGUAUUAUAAAAUUCUGAGAGUAUCCAUUUGUUUUUAUCUAUCCUGUUAGAUAAAUGGCAAUUUUUAAAAAAUCCUAAUUCUCCUGUGGCUAAUCAAAUUAAAUAAAUAAUAUUCAAAGCAAAUAUUAUUUGACCUAUUGAUUAUACAUAUUAUUCCUUGCUAAAUUGUCUUUUUCUUUUGUAUGUGUCAGGGGGUGCUGGGUAUUAAACCCAGGGCCUAGCACAUGCUAGGCAAAUGUUGUACCACUGAACACAUCCCUAGCUUUUUCUUUUUUAUGUUUUUAUUAGUGCAUUAUAGUUAUACAUAAUAUUGGGAUUUAUUUUGACAUGAUCAUACAUACAUGGAAUAUAAUUAUCUUUAUUUCAGUCCUUGGUACUUCCCUUUUCCCUCUCUUCUCCUUCCCCUCAUUCCGCCUUCCUUUUUCUAUUGGUCUUCCUUCUAUUUACUUAUUGGUUUAUUUUGUUGGGUUUUUUUUUUUUGGUUUGUUUGUUUUUGUUUUAAUACUGGGGAUUGAACCCAGGGCACCUAACCACUAAGCUACAUCCCCAGCCCUUUUUAUUUUUUAUUUUGAGACAGGGUUUUGCUAAGUUGCUGAGGCUGGCCUGAAAUUUGUUAUCCUCCUGUCACUGGGAUUACAGACGUGUACCCUCAUACCUGUUUUUGUUUCUUUGGUACUGGGGAUUGAACCCAGAGGUACUUUAUCACUGAGUCACAUCCCCAGCCCUUUUUUAUAUUUUAUUUUUAGACAGGGUUUCACUAAGUUGCUUAGGGACUUGCUGAGUUGCUGAGUUUCAUUUUUUGCCACUUUGCCUGGAUUAUUGUGUUUUUAAAUUGGUGCUUAAUAGGUAUUCAUAAAGGGAGAAUUCACAUGGAGUAUUUAUAUAUGUACAUAGCAUAAUUUGGCCAAUUUCAUUCCUCAUUUCCUCCUUUUUCCUGUCCCUCUUCCUUUCCUCUCAACCUCCUUCUGUUCCAUUGAUCUUCCUUCUGUUUUCAUGGAGUUCCCCCCACCCUCCACCUUUUCUUCCCUUAUUUUGCCCUAGCAUUCUCAUAUGAGAGAAAAUAUUUUGACCCAUGGCUUUCUGAGUCUGGCUUAUUUCUUUAUGGCUGAGUAAAAUUCUAUUAUGUACAUAUACCACAUUUUCUUUAUCUAUUCAUCUGUUGGUGGACACCCAGCUGGUUCCAUAACUUGGCUAUUGUGAAUUGUGUUGAUAUAAACAUUAAUAUGCCUGUAUUGCUAUAGUAUGCUGAUUUUAGUUCUUUUGGAUAAAUACCAAGGAGUGGAAUAGAGUGGGUUAUAUGAUGGGUCCAUUCCUAGUCUUUUGAGGAGUCUCCAUACUGCUUUACAAAGUGGUUGUACUAGUUGGCAGUUUGCAGUCCCACUAAGAAUGUAUGCAUUUCCCCAUAUCCUUGCCAGCACUUUUUCAUUUGUUGUUAUUUUUGCAGUACUGCAGAUUGACUGUUUUGUUUUUGUUUUGCCGUGUUGGGGUUUGAACCCAGAGCUUCACACAUACUAGGCAAGCACUCUACUACUGAGCCAUGUCCCCAGCUCUUUUCAUUAUUUAUUUUUUGGUACCAGGGAUUGAACCCAGGAGCACUUAGCCACUGAGCUACAUCCCCAGGCCUUUUUUUUUUUUUUUAAUUUUGACACAGGGUCUCACUAAGUUGAGAGGCUACUCUUAAACUUGCAGCCUUCCUGCCUCAGCCUCCUAAAUCACUGGGAUUAUAGGCAUGUGCCACCAUACCCGGCCUUUUCAGGUAUGGUGAAAAUACCUGUUUUGUUUUUGUUUUUUGGUACUGGGGAUUGAACUAAGGGGCACUCAACCACUGAGCUACAUCCCCAGCACUAUUUUGUAUUUUAAUAUUUAUUUUUUAGUUGUAGUUGGACACAAUAUCUUUAUUUUAUUUAUUUUUAUGUGGUGCCGAGGAUUAAACCCAGUGCCUCAUGCAUGUAUGUAUGUGAGGCAAGUGCUCUACCACUGAGCUACAACCCCAGCCCUGGUAUUCUGGGCAUUUACUGAAAUUUAGUCCUCUUGAAGGCUGAUAAGAUUAGUCAGAUCCCUAAGGAAAAUGAGGAAUUUUUAAUCUCAAUUGUCCUUUUUAGCCAUAAAUAAAAGUAUUUUUUAAAUUUUUAUUUUUAUAUGGCAGUGGAAUGCAUUACAAUUCUUAUUACACAUAUAGAGCGCAAUUUUUCAUAUCUCUGGUUGUACACAAAGUAUAUCCACACCAAUUUGUGUCUUCAUACAUGUACUUUGGAUAAUAAUGAUCAUAAUAGAAGAGUAUUGAGCAAAGUUUUCUACGUUAGUUUGCUUCCUAGGGACAGAUGCUAGGCUAGAAAUGUUUCCAAGGACUUAAACUUUAGUUUAUCUGUAUUUACUAGUGUGAAAAUAUAAAAAUAAUAUAAUAAUGAAUACUUUUUCUGAAGUAGGGAUUUAUUGAAUUGUUAUUGGUUUUCAUUUCCAAGUUCUAAUCAGUUUCUUGUCAUUAUGCUUCACAGACUUUCACUCCCCUAGUAGAUAAACUGGGUUUGGGUUCUGUGGUGCCAGUUGAAUACCUUCUGGAUCGAGAACUUCGUUUCCUGUCAGAUGCUAAUGGGUUGCAUCUGUUCCAGGUACUUUACACUUAACUCUGGUCUUGAGCCUAUUAUUUUUCUCCUUGCUAAUUUCUUUGUUGAUACAAAUACUGGUGUUUCCCUUUUUCUUAGUGUUUCUUUGAUUUCCUUCAAUAAAUUCCCCUGUGCCUUUUAAAGUUUCUCUGCUUCCUUGCAAAGUACUGAGGCUUCUUUCCUUUUCUGUAUAACCCUGCUCCACACUAAAGCCAUUGAAGACUUAAGACCACAAUUCUGAGGGUCCCUUCAGAAGAGGUGGCUUCAUUGAGUUGGUUGCUUCUGUAGUAUGAGUCCUAGGGGCCCUAUGCAUACCUUAGUGGCAUGGAAGUGGGGAGGAAUGUGGAGUGGUUCCAUGCAGUGUGAAGUUUUGAAGAGCUUUUGGUAUAUCUUUAGUUUAAAAAAAAAAUGGGAUAAGUUAAAUAGUUGAAACAAACUAGCUUCUGAGUUUGGGUUUCAGAAUUUAACAAAGUACUGUUUAAUUCUCACUUGUAAGGGUUACUAUCUGAAGGUUAAAAUCUGAGAGACUUCUAAGAGUUUUAUUCUUAUCAAGAAAGCCAAGAACAGUGUUUCCUAAACUGUUUUAUGUAUAUUAAUGUAUAUUUCUUUUUGUUAUAUAGUCCUCAUGAGACCUCACUCUCAACAGUCUUGCUUUAUUCAUCUUUAUAAUCCCAGAGUUUAUAUGAGAAUGGCAUUCAGGAAAUGUUGGAUAAACACCAAAAUAAGCAAAAAGGUUUAUAUGGAGUAAAAUGUUUUGUGGUCAAAUAAGUAUGUGAAACCCUGACUUAAAUAUAUUUCUUUUCUCUAUGAUUUCUCUGAACCUUGAGUAUGAUGUCGUAUACAGAAACAUAUAUAAAUUUAGGCUUAGGAAAUAUCAUGUUCUGCAUGUAGAAAGAUAUAAUAUGUAAUAUUUUCUAAGCCUCAUUUAUACUAGCAUUUUUAAUUCUUGCAGAGAUUCUCAUGAGACUAGAAUUCUUAAGGCAUUUUUAGCAAGUGUUGAUAUAGAACUCCUUGGUAUGUGAUUUUUCUCAUUUAAUUAGAUGUUAUUGCUAUUUAUUUUAACAUUCAGUUGUUUUAUCUUUACCAGAUGGGAACCGAUAGCCAAAACCAGAUUCUUUUAGAACAUACUGCUCUGAGAGAAACAGUUAAUGCUUUGAUCAGUGACCAAAAGCUACAAGAGAUAUUCAGCCGAGGUAAGAACAGGUAGUCUUCUGUCCCUGAACUCUGAAUCAGGUGAAUUGUCAGUUUUGAAUGAUAUAAUGGGACAUCAUGUAGCUUUAAACAUUUGUCCUCAUCCUCUUUUUGUGAGUAGAGACGAAAGUAUCUCCGAUUAGCUAAAUCUCCAAAUAAACUAGAAAAAUAGGAUCUCUCCAAGACCAUUGUUUUCUCUCUCUCUCUUUUUUUUUUUUUUUAAUAUUUUUUUUAUUUGUUGAUGGACCUUUAUUUUAUUUUAUUUUUUGUGGUGCUGGAAAUCAAACCCAGUGCCCUGCAUGUACGAGGCAAGCGCUCCACUGCUAAUCUACAACUCCAGCCCCCCAUUGUUUUCUCUUCAUUGUACUUUUCAUAAACCAUAGUUUUGUUGUAAGCUUAGUUUUUUUUCCCCAUUUUUAAAAUAUUUAUUAAGGACACUAGAAAUAUUUAUUUAAAAACAUGCACUAGAAACAAUGUUAAGGCACUAAUGAUCUAGCCAGUAGCUAGAAAAUCUUUACCUAUUUUUUUUUUUUUUUAAUACACCCAAGGGCGCUUAACCACUGAGCCACAUCCCUAGCCCUUUUUUUUAAUUAUUUUUUAUUUUGAGACAGACUCACUAAGUUGUUUAGGGCCUUGCAAUCCUCCUGACUCAGCCUCCUGAGUUGCUGAAAUUACACACAUGUGCCAUUGUGCCUAGAGCUGACUCUGCUUUUUUUGAAUUUACUAUCUGCAGGUUUCUAAAAAAUCUAGGACUAGCUGGGUGUAGUGGCUUACACCACUAAUUUGGGCAACUUGGACAGCUGAGGCAGGAUUGCAAGUUCCAGGCCUAUCUCAGCAAUUUAGUGAAACCCUCAGUAACCUAGUGAGAUUCUGUCGCAAAAUAAAAAAUAGAAAGGUCUGGGGAUGUAGCUCAGAAAUGAAGCACUCCUGCGUUCAAUCCUCAUUACCAAAAAGAAAAAGCUAAAGACUCUUAACACCAACAUAUAACUUAGAGUGCAAAGUAUGUUCAUAAAACAAUGCAUCCACAGACUUAUUCACAUGAAUAGUAUGCUUUAAGUAUAAAUAAAUGAACAUAGGGUGUAGCUCAGUGGUAGAGUGCUUUUGCCCAACAUGCCAUAGCCCCUGGGUUUGAUCCUUAGUAACAAACAAACAAACAAAAACAGAAAGAAGAAUUAUUAGUUUUCAAGUUCAGAUACCGGUUUUGCCUCAAGAGUCUAUACGAAGAGUAAACUACUUCAUUUAUCCUUCCUUUCAUGUCAUGCAUUCACUCACCUUCAUUUCUGGGCCUUAUGAUAAUCAUUAUUUUUAGUGAAGUAGUGUCCUUGGUUCUAUUUUUGUCAAAUAAAUCUAAACAGGUGAAGUUAAGAAUACUGACCUAAUGGAGAAAAAAAGAUAUCAGGAUAAAAUGAUGUUUAAUAAACAAGGAAUGAUAUAGAGGAAGAAAGAAUGUGAGGAAAAAUUAGUAACAGAAGAAAAUUGAGUGGACAAAAUGAGAGGUGGUGAUAUGUGAGUAUAUACAGAGAAAUUAAGGAAACUUAAUUAUAGCUCUAAGAAAAUAAUCUAAAAUUAGUAAUGCUUUAGCUAUAUAGUCUCAAAUGUACAAUGAUAUGUGGGAGAGAGAAACUGUCCUUGGAAAGACCAGCUGAAAUUGCAGGGUAACAUUACCUGCUGAUAAAGUAAUAUUUUUGAAACUCUGUGUUCCUAGGAAGACAGGUGCUAUAUUUGUUCAGACUAUUAUUAGUGCAGAGGCUAGAAACCUCAUAAAUUGAACUCUCAGCUGUUAUUGAAAGUCAGAUAGCAGAAUGUUAAUGAUUAUGUAUCAUUCCUGUGGUGGUUUAUCCUAAUAGCACAUCCAAUGGGACUGGGGGUUUAGCUUAGUGGCAGACAUGUACAAGGCUCUGGGUUUGAUCCUCUGCAGCACAAAUAAAAAAGAAAAAGAGUACAUUCAACUUAGUGGUCUCCUACUUUUUUCAUACACAUGUCAGGUAUAUGAGUAAAUUUCCAUAUUACUUGUUGUUGUUGUUGUUGUUUUAAUUUGUAAGUUUCUUUCCCUUUGAAUAUUACAAUUAUUAAAUUGUUGAAUAUAGGGGCUAGGGAUGUUGCUCAAUAUCAGAGUGCUUCCCUGGGAUGUAUGAGGACAAGGGUUCUAUCCCAACAUCUCAAAAAGACUCAAUGCUGAGUGUGGUAAAUCUAGAAUUGCUACUUUGUUAGCUCUGUCAAGGGGCAGAUAUUUGAAAGUGCCAAGUAUUUCCAUCAUGUAGUUUUCCUUUUGCUUUCAGAAACAGUUAUGAAACAUAACUUAGCCAAAAAUACAGUUUUGACUGAUCUCUUUUUUAGGUCCCUACAGUGUUCAAGGUCACAGGGUCAAAGUGUACCAGCCAGAGGGGGAAGAAGGGUGGAUCUAUGGUGUCGUAAGUCAUCAGGACUCCAUCACCCGUCUUAUGGAUGUGUCUAUAACUGAGGUGAGGCUGUGUUAAUUCCAUCUAAAUUCUAUCAGUCCCCUUACAGAGCAUGGUGUAAAGAAUGUGAAUACUUUAUCCCUGGCUCUUAUCAUUUAAUGAUUGUAUAACCCUUAGAAGGGGUGUGCAACUUUAUCAUCCCACUGUUCUCAUCUUUAAGUUAGAAGUAAUUGUGUAAAACCCCACUUACCUCACAAUACUGUUUUGAAGACUGAAAUAAUAUAUUUAAAAGUGCUUUGAAAUCUGUAAAACAAUAUGCAGUUGUAAGGUGGUAAUAUUUAUCAUAUUCAUAACAGUUUGUAUUAAAGACCAAUUAGUUAGCAUUGGCUUCUGUAUUACUUUUGCCACUAUAUCCUAGAUGCUGAAAAAAAUUGCUUUUAAUGAACAGAAAAGAACCUAACACCUAAGAGAUACCUGGAGAAUUAUUUAGGAGAAACAGUAGAUGAGUGUUUCUUUUUUUUUUAAUUUAUUUUUUUGGUUGUAGUUGUUAUUUAUUUCUUUCUUUAAUUUUUUUAAAAGUUAAAUAAAUCUUCAUUUAAAAAUUUCAAAAAACAUACAUACAUAAACUAGAUAAUGAAAGCCAACCUUUCCCCUAUGUAAAUGUCACUCAGUGGCAACCACCAUUAACAGUUUGGUAUAUAUUCCAUAUUCUUUUUAUUUUUUGUUUAUUUAUUUUUAGUAUUUAUUUUUAUGUGGUGCUGAGGAUGGUACCCAGUGCCUCACACAUGCUAGACAAGUGCUCUCCCAUUAAGCUAUAUUCCAUAUUCUUCCAAAUAUUUUCUAUAUAUGUAUUUCUGUAGGUUAUAUAGUGUAUCUUAUUUACUUAAUUGUAUAUAACCUCCAUUUUUUUUUUCUUUUUUUUUUUUUUCCUGAUACUGGGGACUGAACCCAGGGGCACUUUACCGCUGAGCUACAUCUCCAGCGUUUUUCUUUUUUGUUGUUGUUGUUUUUUUUUUGUUACUUUGAGAUAGUGUCUUGCUAAAUUGCCAAGGUUGGCCUCAAACUUGCAAUCCUCCUGCCUCAGUCUCCUAAGUUGUUUGGAUUACAAAUAUGUGCCACUAUACUUGGUUUAUAACAAGCAUUUUUAAUCUUUAUUUGUGAAUAUAGAGAUGUGAAUUUUUUUUUUUUUUUUUUUUUUUCUCCUUUAUGGUACUGGGGAUUGACAAUACCCCAGCAGUUCUUUUCACUGAGCUACAUUCUGGGCCUUUUUAAAUUUUUAUCUUGAGACAUGAUCUCGCUAAGUUGCUGAGGCUGGCCUUGAACUUGGAAUUCUUCUGCCUUAGUCUCUCAAUUUGCUGGAAUUAGAGACAUGUGCCACUGUGCCCAGCUGACUUAUUCCUUUAAAAUAGAUGUGUGCUAUUCCAAAAAAUGAAUAUAUCAUAGCUAGUUUAAUCUAAAAUUGAAGGACAUUUAAAUCUUUGCCAGUAUUUUCACUAAUACAGAUGAUGACACAGUGAACAUACUUGAACAUCCUUUCACAUUUAUGAUUUAUUGGAAUAAAUUCCUUGGUUUGUAAUUGCUAAGUUAAAAGAUAUACAUAGUAAAAAAAAAUUUUGUGUGUGUGUUGUUGUACUGGGAAUUGAACUCAGGACCUCAUACAUGCUAGGCAAGUGCUCUACAACUGAGCUAUAUCCCCAGCCCUACACAGUAAAUUUGAUGUUUUAUGUCAAAGUACUCCCUCUCCUAAAGUUUGUAUUCUUUAGUAGUAAAGUAGGUUUGUUUGUUUUGGGUGUUUUUUAUUGUUUUGGUUUUUGUGGGUUUGGGGUUUUUUGUUUUGUUUUGUUUUGUUGGUGGUACUGGGAAUUAAUCCCAGGGUCUCAAAUAUGCUCUAUCACUGAGCUACAUCCCCAGCCCUAUAUAAUGAUUUUUGUAAUGAUUGUUGUUGGUUCUGAAGAUUUUUGAUUUCAUAAUAUACUGAAUAGGAAUGUUUUUGAUAUGGAAUAUUUCAAAUUAAAAUCCCUAAAAGACAUACUUGAGCAUUAAACUCAAUUGUUCCUUUUAUUCAUGAACUUAACAAAUAUAUUAAUGCUCACCAUAUUCCACACCGUGUUUCAGAUAUCCUUACUAUAGCAGUGAUUGAGACAGUAAAUAUCCCUUCUCUCAUGGAGCUUUCUUCUAAUAAGGGAAUAGAAGCAAUAAAGAGAUACUUACAUAGAUUAGGAAAAUGUUAAGUCUUGGUGAAUAAAGCAUUAAAUAAUCUCUCUCCCCCACCCUUUUCCCAUAUGUUCUGCUAUCCUGCUGCUACCAUAGAGUGGUGAGAUCAAGUCAGUAGAUCCCAGACUCAUCCAUGUGAUGCUGAUGGAUAACACAACGCCUCAAAAUGAGGUACAGUAAACAACUGAGUCUCUGAGAAGACUCAUGAGCUUGCAUUUUCUUGUUAUGUGGUUUCCUUUUACAUGGGUGCUGCUUGGGUUGUUCAGAUGGACUGUCUUGGUAAGGGUGGAUGGUGUCAAGAAAGAGACCUAGUUUGAGUAAACCCUUUCAAUUUGACUUGUUCUAUAGUUGUUAUAAAGUCUUAAGUCCUAACUUUCUUUUAUAUUUUCUUAAGUAUAUUUGAAAGAGGUAGUAGUUAAAACUGCAAUAAAUGGUAGUAAUAAUCAUGACCUUACCAGUAACUAGAUAUGGAAGAAAAGCUACAUCCUCUUUUUUCCUAUUAGGUGGCACUGAGCUCCAACAGAGUCUUUUUUACUUUUUAUCUUGAGACAGGAUCUCGCUAAGUUGCUGAGGCUGGCCUUGAACUUAGCAUUCUUCUGCCUUAGUCUCUCAACUUGCUGGAAUUAGAGGCAUGUGCCACAAUAGAUGUAUGCUAUUCCAAAAGAUGAAUAUAUCAUAACUAAUUUAAUCUAAAAUUGGAGGACAUUUAAAUCAUUGCCAGUAUUUUCACUAAUACAAAUGACAACACAAUGAACAUACUUGAACAUCCUUUCACAUUUAUUGUUUAUUGGAAUUAAUUCCUUGGUUUGCAAUUGCUAAGUUAAUAGAUAUACAUAGUAAAAAAAAAUUUUUUGUGUGAGUUAUUGUACUGGAGAUUGAACUCAGGACCUCAUACAUGCUCAUAUAUUCCCAAGUAGAAUCAAAUGAACAGGUGCCUAGUUCAGUGCUUAGCACACAGUGGAUUAUUCUAUAAUUAUAGACUAAGCCAACACUUGGUUCAUUUAGAAUUAUUAUAGCCAAAAAUAAAUAAAUAAGCGCAUUAUAAAUCUUUACCUGAACCAAUAAGGAAUCCUGUGUGAGUAUCCUUCAGUAAAUCAACUGUCCACACAUGCCUCAUAGUAUCUUAUCACCUCUAUAAAUAUUGCUUUCUUGCUGAGUAUAUAGUCCUUCAUCAUCUUUUUUAUUAGUUAUUCUUGAUUUAAAAAAAAAAAAGAUCAGACUAAGAAAGGAAGAAUCAGUAUUAAAUUUAAUAGCUUUUUAUUUAUGUAUUAUAUUAAUCAGGAAUAGGUUAAGUCCCUUGACUAUGUUUACAUGGCUGAAAAACCUGUUACUUUGAUGUUGCAUUGGGCUCUAUUUUUAGUCCAUUAUUUCACUCAUUCAUUAAGCACCUAUUGUAUGCCAAAUAGUAUACAGCUAGCCCAGUAUAACUGAAAAGUACUAUACUCAGUGUCCUAGGUUACUUUCUUGCAUGUGAGUAGUUCAUUAUAAGUUAUUUUGGGAAUGGUUGCUGUGAGCCAGGUUCUUCAAGUUGACUGCAUGAGUUAGAAGUGGAAGUGUGGUUGUUAGCAGUAAAUUUUGAUUUUUCCUUUUUGGCUUUGCCAUGAUGUGACAUCUUCUUUUGUUUGUUUUUUCCCCAGUAUCAGGGAUUGAACCCAGGGGCACUUAACCACUGAGCCACAUCCGCAGUCCUUUUUCGUGUUUUAUUUAGAGACAGGGUCUCACUGAGUUGCUUAGGGCCUAACUAAGUUACUUAGGCUGGCUUUGAACUUGGAAUCCUUCUGCCUCAGCCUCCUGAGCUGCAUGCUCAGGUAUGCGCCACUGUGCCCAACUUGACUUUUAUUCUUGGCUAGCCAAAUUCAAUUACAGUUUGCCAGGUUUUCCAGUAACCCUUCUUAGAGAUCUGUGAUUGCCUCAUCUCCUUUAACAGUGAGUAUAAGAGAAUAAGCAAGAAAGAAAAGAAAGAUUUCAGCUAAGCUCAGUGGCACAUGCCUAUAAUCUCAGAUUUGAGAGGCUGAGGCAAGAGAAUCACAGGUUUGAGACCAGCUUCAGGAUUUUAGUGAAACUCUUAUCAAAACAUAAGUAGGGCUAGGGAUGUAACUCAGAGGUAAAGUGUCCUGGGUUCAAGUCCCAUUACCAGAAAUAAAAUAAAGGACAAAAAAUGCCCAUCCUCAAGUUUACCCUUUUUAUUUAUUUAUUUGGUACCAGGGAUUGAGCCCAGAGGCAUUUAACUAUUGAGUCACAUCCCCAGCUCUUUUUUAUAUUUUAUUUAGAGACAGGGUCUUACUGAGUUGCUUAGGGCCUUGCUAAAAUCGCUGAGGCUGGCUUGAAAUAACAAUUCUCUGCCUCAGCCACCUGUACUUUACCCUGUAAUUUAAGAAGAAAGUAAAAAUAAAAAACUGAUGGUAAUCCAGGUUGAAGAAAAGAUAAAGUUUUAAAAGAGAAUGGAUGAAUUUAAGCUGGGCAUGGUAGUGCAUGCCUGUAAUCUCAGCUACUUGGGAGGAUGAGGCAGGAGGAUUAAGAGUUCUAGCCCAAUUUGGGCAACAUAGCAAGAGCCUGUCUCAAAGAGGAUGAAAUGAAAACAACGUUUAGCAAACAGUUUUUGAAUGAUUUGAAAAACUUGGGUAAUAUUGCCAGAAGUAUGUUACUUAUUAUUAUAUUACUUAAUACUAUAUAUUUAGAAAUACAGAUAAUAUUCAGAAGUAGGGUGGAAAUGGAAGUAAAUCUUGAGCCUUAAGACUUGGGCGGGGGCUGGGAUUGUAGUUUGGUAGUAGAGCGCUUGUCUAGCAUGUGUGAGGCACUUGGGUUGGAUACUUGGCACCACAUAAAAAUAAGUAAAUAAAAUAAAGACUUGUAGGGGAAGCUAGGUACAGUGGUACAAGCUUGUAAUCCCAGGGGCUUAGGAGGCUGAAGCAGGAGGAUCACAAAUUCAAAGCCAGUAUUGGCAACUUAGCGAAACCCUGUGUCAAAAUAAAAAAUAUAAAGGGAUGAGGAUGUAGCUUAGUGGUUCAAUACCCAGUACCCCCCAAUAUAUGGGGGGCUGUUUUAUAUAUAUGAAUGACUUGUAGGGGAAAUUAAAGGAGAAACACUAGAUAGGAAGACAGCAAAAAGGAAAAGUACUGAAACUAUUACUAAGAAGAUAAGAAAUUUAAAAUUCAUAAAACAUUUCCAUUGAAAAGCUAUAGUAAUGAUUACAAGAAAGAAAAUAGAUCUAUAAAUAAUACUGCCCAAAGUAUUAAAGGACAGUAAGAAUAAAUUAAUGAAGUUUAUAAAUAUUAAUACCUAGAUAACAAUGUUUCACUAGCUUAUUAACCAUCUUAGCACAUGUUUUUGAAAUACCUUCUUCAUAUAAGUCCUUGAUGCACAAAAAAGAUUGCUGUAGAGAAUGUUAGCUGCACCUCAUGCCCCAUUCUCCUUAUCCUUCUCAGGGAAGGAGUUUACUCAGAAUGGGUAUUUUCUCUUUUAAUCCAUAUCUUGUCUGGCCUUUCAAAUAAGGUGCAAGUAAAAUUUUCUGAGAUAGAUAGUCUGACAUUACCAGAAGAUAGAAGAGAUUUGGCUUUUGGCCUGUGGUAGCCUGCUUUUUUCCCCCUUUCCUCUGUUUAAUGCUUUGAAAUAAGGUCUGGAGAUCAAUUGAAUCUUUGUAGUGUCUGUGAGCUAUCAGCUUCACUUUUCCUUUGCUCAUAGAUUUACAAAUACUGGUAAUCAAAUACUGGUUUUAGUGACUUUUGGUUAAAAGGAAUUUUGUAUGUUAAUACUUGAAGUACAAGUUUCUGUCAAAACCAAGAGAUAAAGCAAGUUAUUUCCUCAGUGUACAAAUAAGCUUCUAGCCUAGCCUGGCAUUUUAUUUUGUAAAAAUAAGUUCCACAAAUUAUAAAACCCAUCAAAAAAUAAAAUACCAUUUGAAGUAGUUUAUUUAUUGUAAGAGAAGAUUUGCCAAGAGAGUUAACCUCUGGUAACUGUUAUCUUGAAUGUGUGUAUAAAUGGGAUUACAGGGAGAUUGGAGCUUUUUGACAAAGGGUCUUAGAGCUGGCAUCAGAAUUUGGCAAUCUUUGCCUGCUUUUUCUGUUUCUAGAGAUGGGAAAGAGCUAAUGGAUUAUGGUUUUCACAGGAUGAAAGGUCCUUUAUAAUAAAUCUUUUUUGAAUUUUGUUUUGUAGGGGGGUACGUUAAAAGCAGUAAAAUCUUCCAAAGGAAAGAAGAAGAGAGAGAGCAUAGAGGGGAAAGAUGGCCGGAGGAGGAAAAAUGCUUCGGACUCUGGGUGUGACUCUGCAUCAAAGAAAUUAAAAGGAGACAGGGGUGAAGUAGACAGUAAUGGGAGCGAUGGAGGUGAGGCAAGCCGAGGGCCCUGGAAAGGAGGUAAUGCCAGUGGAGAGCCAGGGCUGGAUCAGAGAGCCAAGCAGCCACCAUCUACAUUUGUUCCCCAAAUUAACCGCAACAUUCGCUUUGCCACUUACACCAAAGAAAACGGCAGGACUCUGGUGGUACAGGAUGAGCCCGUAGGUGGGGACACACCUGUACCUUUCACUCCAUAUUCUACAGCCACAGGUCAGACACCUUUGGCCUCAGAGGUGGGUGGAGCCGAAAACAAAGAGUCAGGAAAAACACUGGAACAAGUUGGCCAGGGCAUGGUGGCUUCAGCAGUUGUGGUCACUUCCGCCAGCUCCACCCCAACCACGGUGAGGAUCUCAGACACUGGCCUUGCAGCAGGGACUGGGCCGGAAAAACAGAAAGGCAGCCGGUCACAGGCCUCAGGAGAGGUGAGUUGCUCUAGGGGCAGAUUUGCUAGAUUUGUGUUUACUCUCUCACCCUUCCUUAUUGUUAACACCUUCACAGACAUCUCAAAUGCCCUAAGGAAGGAAUAUUUCUGAGAUAUGCUUAAAUUAUAUUCUGUGGCUAGGCCUUUACUGCUCUCCUUGAGCAAAUGUGUACAUUUUAAUAACUUUAUCAGUUUUUAAAAGCCACUUGAACAUCUGGACUCAGCUGCGCAUACCUGUAAUCCCAUCAAUUUAGGAAUCAGAGGCAGGAGGAUUACAAGUUUAAAGCCAGCCUCAACAACUUAGUGAGGUCUUCUCUCAAAAUAAAAAUUGACUGGGAAUGUGGCUCAGUGGUUAAGUGCCCCUGGGUUCAAUCCCCAGUACAAAAAAAAAAAGUCACCUGAACAAUUGGGCUAAUCAAAAACUGGUUAUACAACCCAAUUUAAUGAGAUUUAAAAUAGAUCUGAUGGGGAAUCUUUUUAAUUCAAUUAUCUAUUUAGUUCACCAAGUAGUUGAACCUCCACCAAAUCUGAGAGGCAAGAUUAAUGAAUUAUAGUGUUGGUAAUAGUGAACACUAUAAUUAAGGCUGUGAGUCCAAGCUACCAUUACCCUAUUUUCAGUUCAUCAUUUUCUGUGAUAUUUUCCCUUGAGUCUAGGUUACUUUCCAUCGUUUAGUAUGGCCAUAAAAGUUUUUCCCUCACUAAUUUCAUUCUUUUAAUAAGCCUUACUUGAUGGAUUUAAUCAUAACAGUUAUUGCUUUGGUCUUUAUCUGAUAGGAUUUUUUUUUUUUUUUUUUUGCUAAAAUGGAACUUUUGUUAAAUGUAAGUUAAUGUCAAGUUGACACUGCAAUCCAAAUUUAAGACAGUAUCAAAAUCUAUUCUUUUGGUACUAGGGGCUGUGGCUCAAUGGUAGAGCGCUUGCCUGGUACGUGUGAGGCACUGGGUUUGAUCCUCAGCACCUCAUAAAAAUAAAAACUAAAAGCCAGGCAUGGUGUUGCAUGCCUGUAAUCCCAGCGGUUUGGGAGGCGGAGGCAGGAGAAUCACAAGUUCAUAGCCAGCCUCAGCAAUUCAGCAGGGCACUAAGCAACUCAAUGAGACCCCAUCUCUAAUAAAAAACAAAAUAGGGCUGGGGAUUUGGCUCAGUGGUCUAGUGCCCCUGAGUUCAAUCCCUGAUACCAUAAAUAAAUAAAUAAAUAUGGGGGGGGUUUUUGUCCGUCUACAACUAAAAAAAUAUAUAUUUAAAAAUUGAAUUUCUUACUGAUUUUGGUCACCAAACUGAUUCACAUAGGCCAACUCAAGCUAGAGUAUGAAGUGAAAAGAUGAAAUGCAUAAUGAUUUUUUUAAAGUACAUAAGCCAGCCAUGGAGGCACGUGCAUAUAGGCCCAGCUACUCAUGAGGCUGAGGCAGGAGGAUCAUUUUAGCCGAGGAAUUUGAGGCCAGCCUGGACAACAAUGAGACCCCAUCCAAAAAAAAAAAGCAAAAUAAUAUAUAGGAAACUACUGUGUGCUAAGUACUGUGCAUUAUAAAUAUUUUAAAUCACUACUUAAAGGAACCCACACACCAAAAUAGGAUAAUUUCAGGUAUAACAACACAGAUAAAGCAUGACAUAGGACUGGGUGAUAUGGUUUAAUAGAAAAAAAUCUUGCCUAGCAUGCAUGAGGCCUUGUGUUUGAUCACCAGCCCCACAAAGAACAAAACAAAGCAAACAAAAAACCCAUGGUAUAUAAAUUUCAUCUGACUAAUUCCUAAUUCUAGCAAAUACAAUGUGUUAACCCCUAAUAUAUAGGAAUAGAGAGCGAGAUGAAAUGCCUAGGUAAAAGAGGACUGUAAAUGCAAAUUUCACACUGUUUAUGAUUUUUUCCUCAGUUAGUUGACCUAUAGUCCCAAAAGAACCAGGUGAGGAUCAUAGAUGAGUUUCCAAUGUGUAAAAAAAAAAAAAAAAAAAUCUUCAUAAUUUCUGCACCAUUUAAAAUCAACUCUGUGUUAAGGCAGUAUGAAUGUAAAUGAGAAUUACAAAGUAAACCAAAUUUGUGACCUACAAGAAAAGAUCCAGUGAAUGUCACUGUUCUUGGAGUAGCAAAGCUGAUAGAUGAAAUGUGGAGUCAAUAUUUUUUUCAAAUAGGUUGUAGAAACUUCUGUGAAUAUCAUUUUGCUCAUGUUUUAGCCUCUUUCUGCAGUAUGAUUUAAAAUUACAGACAUGAAUGUUUCUGUUACAAUUCUUAAUCUGAAAUAGAGAAAUAGUUACCAGGACUUUCUUGCCCUAAAAGCUGGAGUUGAAAUCAGUUUGUCAUCGCUUUCUUAUAAGGAAAGGAUUUGGAAUUUGAUCAUUUAAAAGAAAAUGAAAGACCAUCCAAAUUAUUUUUCAUUCAUGUGUGUAUUUAUUUUUAAAGGAUAAUGUUAGUAGUAAAACAUGAGCUACUCGUGCAGGUUUCUUGCAGUCAUACAGAUGUCCAGGCUCUGAGCCAAUCCUGCUAGUGAAACAACAGCAAAAUCUCAGGGCUGUGUCAGUCUUAUUUUGGGUGGUGGGGGCAGGGGGGCAUCUUAAAUCAAUGCUUUUGUAGUUAGUAAGAAAAAAAAAUGAACUUUAAUUUUUUAACUCUAAAAUCUGUCAACAGAUGUCAACUGCAAGCAAGCCAUAGGAAGUGUCCCUGGUUCUUCUCCUUCUAUGUCACCUUUAAGGAUAUUUAGCAUUGUAUCAUUUUAAAAUGUAUGAUUCUUUGGCAUGUAGUACAUUCACCAUGUUAUAAAACCACUACCACUAUGAGAUCCAGAAAUUUUUCUCCUUUAAAAUAAAACCCCAUAUUCAUUCAGCAGUGAUGGAAUAAUUUUUUAUUUCCAAUGUUUACAAAUGAAUGUUUAGGUAUCAUUCUCUACUACUUGAAAGUUGGUUGGUGUUUUUGUUUUGUUUUGUUUUAGUUAAUCUACAUUUCAAGUCAAGUGCUAGGAUCUGAGUUUUAUUAAAUUAACGAGUACUACAUAAGGGCUCAUAGCUACCUAAGAGUGUCUCUGUGUGUGCAUAUGGGUACAUAAUGUAUAUGAAAGUGCCCCUACCCUUAUUUAUACAUAUAUUCAUUCACAUGCAGAAGUUAACAUGGGAAGCAUUAUAUAACAUUUUAUUUUCCAAUUUGUUAGGCUAAGUGUUUUUAUUUGGUGAAUAUUUCAGUAAUGUACAUUUUUCCUUUGGGGACUUUUGUUAGAUCAUAAUUAUAACAGAAGAUCUCAAUGGAUAGCUUUCUUUAUUUUAGCAUCUUUAGGAGUAAUAUUAAUUGCAAAUUUUAGGUAGAUUUAAACCAAUAAAUGGCCAGUUUCCAAAAGGAUCCUUUUGUGGAGUUUCAGAUUAAUAAAGAUACUUUUUCUUUAAUAAGUGGGCUUAUCAUAGAAGUGAAGUUACUUUCUAUAAGAUGAAGAUAUUUGCAAUAGCUUAAAUAAAUCAAAACUUUGUAGUUUCUAAGGUCAUUCAGAUAGAUUGAUAUUACAGAGGUCACUAGGUAAAUUUCAAAGUAAAAGCUGUCAUCAGGAAUCUUCCCACAGUUCCCUAACAGAGUCUCUGUUUUCAAAUACUGUAAAUACUAAAAAGCCUACACACCUUUCUAGAACUGACCCAUUGGGUAACAACUAAAGGAGAGGCAGGUUGAAUGACAUCUCUGGCUCAUCUUGCUAGAGUUAAAAUGCCCUCUGUGGUUUAUGGCAAGUUUUUUCCCUUCCAUUGCUGGUGAAAUCCAGAAGAGCAAAUAAGUAGAAUUGUAGGAGAGAAAAGUUGAUUGAUCAAUUGAUCAAUAAUAAAUAUUGAUUCAAUGAUAGGACAAGAAAGAGCUCAUUAGGUUGUCAUCUGAAGCCAGUGUCACUAAUUCAGGCUAUCUUCCUUUCAGAAUUCAAGAAAUUCUAUUCUGGCCUCUUCUGGAUUUGGAACAUCUCUCCCAAGUUUAUCACAACCAUUGACUUUUGGAAGUGGAAGGAGCCAGUCCAAUGGGGUUUUAGCUACAGAGAACAAACCUUUGGGCUUCUCUUUUGGCUGUAGCUCUGCUCCAGAGUCUCAGAAAGAUUCUGAUCUCUCCAAAAACUUGUUUUUUCAAUGCAUGUCCCAAACGUUACCCACCAGUAACUACUUCACUACGGUUUCAGAGAGUUUGGCUGAUGAUUCCUCUAGUCGGGACUCAUUCAAACAAAGCCUUGAGAGUCUGAGCUCAGGCCUGUGCAAAGGCAGAUCCACUCUUGGAGCAGACACUAAGCCAGGCUCUAAGGCUGGCAGCGCUGUGGACCGGAAAGUGCCUGCAGAGUCCAUGCCCACCCUUACUCCAGCCUUCCCCCGGAGCCUCCUAAAUACCCGCACCCCAGAGAGUCAUGAAAAUCUAUUUUUACAGCCCCCUAAACUGUCCCGAGAAGAGCCUUCUAACCCUUUCCUGGCAUUUGUGGAGAAAGUUGAACACAGUCCUUUCAGCAGCUUUGCAUCUCAGGCAUCAGGUAGCUCUUCCUCUGCUACCACUGUCACCUCCAAGGCAGCAACCGGCUGGCCCGAGCCUCACUCGUCUGCAGAUUCAGCAUCUUUAGCAAAGAAGAAAACCCUCUUCAUUACAACUGAUUCCUCCAAGCUGGUGUCUGGUGUUCUAGGCUCAACUCUUACCACUGGGGGUGCAAGCCUCUCUGCCAUGGGGAAUGGCCGCUCCAGCUCACCCACCAGUAGCCUCACCCAACCCAUUGAGAUGCCUACUCUCUCCUCAAGCCCCACAGAGGAGAGGCCAACUGUGGGACCUGGGCAACAGGACAAUCCCCUCCUCAAAACCUUUAGUAACGUCUUUGGCAGGCACUCGGGCUGCUUUCUGUCCUCCCCAGUAGAUUUUUCGCAGGAGAACAAAGCUCCUUUUGAAGCUGUGAAAAGGUUCUCACUGGAUGAGCGAAGCUUGGCUUGCAGACAGGACUCAGACUCUAGCACCAACAGUGACCUGUCAGAUUUGAGCGACUCAGAGGAACAGCUGCAGGCCAAGACAGGCCUGAAGGGGAUUCCAGAACACCUGAUGGGGAAGCUGGGCCCCAAUGGGGAGCGUAGUGCGGAGCUGUUGUUGGGCAAGGGCAAAGGGAAACAGGCCCCUAAAGGCCGACCUCGGACUGCACCCUUGAAAGGUGAUCCUGCUAGGGACUAUACGUGGGCUUUGCUCUGGCACUUGCCUCAAAAUGCUUGUGCUUUUGUGCGGCAGAUGCCUUCAUAUUGAUGGAAAGUUCUAGAAUCUUAUAGAAUUAU